RNAcentral lists this ribosomal RNA (253 nucleotides) under uncultured bacterium. RNAcentral describes it as "partial 16S ribosomal RNA". It matches the Rfam family "Bacterial small subunit ribosomal RNA", at positions 524 to 776 of the family's 1533-position model. The record is from RNAcentral.
UACAGAGGGUGCAAGCGUUGCUCGGAAUCAUUGGGCGUAAAGGGUAGGUAGGUGGUCUCAUUUGUCUGGGGUGAAAUCCUUGAGCUUAACUCAAGAAGUGCCCUAGAAACGGUGAGACUGGAGUCCUGGAGAGGGUCGUGGAAUUCCCGGUGUAGCGGUGAAAUGCGUAGAGAUCGAGAGGAACACCAGAGGCGAAGGCGGCGACCUGGACAGGUACUGACACUCAACUACGAAAGCGUGGGGAGCAAACAGG